Molecule: unclassified non-coding RNA, 329 nt
Filed under: soil metagenome
Description: partial contains 5.8S ribosomal RNA, internal transcribed spacer 2, and large subunit ribosomal RNA
Rfam family: 5.8S ribosomal RNA (bases 1-120)
Source: RNAcentral
GAUGAAGAACGCAGCGAAAUGCGAUACGUAAUGUGAAUUGCAGAAUUCAGUGAAUCAUCGAAUCUUUGAACGCACAUUGCGCCCCCUGGCAUUCCGGGGGGCAUGCCUGUUCGAGCGUCAUUACAACCCUCAAGCUCUGCUUGGUAUUGGGCUCUGCUGGGACCGGCAGGCCUUAAAAUCAGUGGCGGCGCCACUCGGCUUCAAGCGUAGUAAUUCUUCUCGCUUCGGAGACCCGGGUGCGUGCUAGCCAGCAACCCCCAACUUUCUUAGGUUGACCUCGGAUCAGGUAGGGAUACCCGCUGAACUUAAGCAUAUCAAUAAGCGGAGGA